RNAcentral lists this long non-coding RNA (280 nucleotides) under Cicer arietinum (chickpea). Its description in RNAcentral is "long non-coding RNA (CARI_LNC003645)". The record is from RNAcentral. Lineage: Eukaryota; Viridiplantae; Streptophyta; Magnoliopsida; Fabales; Fabaceae.
CUUAGUUGAAAGCUUAUUUUGUGCAUUUAAAAACUUAAAUGUUAUGUGUUAACUGUUAAUUUUGGUUGGUGACCCUUUACAACUAUUGUGGAAAUCUGGGCUUUGCCCUCAGAUGAGAGCCAGGACGAUCUUACCGGUUCGUACCCUACGGAUGGGAAUGCUUGACUGGAGCUACGUUAGGAGGAUCUCACGGGGCGCGUGGAGAUCACUCAGGGUGUAUAGUUUUUUGGUAGGAUGAUCAGAUUAGGUUGAUGUAUAGGGACUAGACGUCCUUCUUUUU